UUCUUUGGCACAAUAGGCAGCGUGUCAGUCUCGCAAGCUGAAGGUCCUGAGUUUGAUCCUCCGAAGGA
RNAcentral lists this transfer RNA (68 nucleotides) under Monodelphis domestica (gray short-tailed opossum). It matches the Rfam family "tRNA". From Rfam's summary of the family: Transfer RNA (tRNA) molecules are approximately 80 nucleotides in length. Their secondary structure includes four short double-helical elements and three loops (D, anti-codon, and T loops). Lineage: Eukaryota; Metazoa; Chordata; Mammalia; Didelphimorphia; Didelphidae. The record is from Rfam by way of RNAcentral.